CGGCCAGACUCCUACGGGAGGCAGCAGUGAGGAAUAUUGGUCAAUGGGCGGAAGCCUGAACCAGCCAAGUCGCGUGAGGGAAUAAGGCCCUACGGGUCGUAAACCUCUUUUGCCGGGGAGCAAGGGCGGGGACGUGUCCCGGCCCGGAGAGUACCCGGAGAAAAAGCAUCGGCUAACUCCGUGCCAGCAGCCGCGGUAAUACGGAGGAUGCGAGCGUUAUCCGGAUUUAUUGGGUUUAAAGGGUGCGUAGGCGGAUCGUUAAGCCGGGGGUCAAUUGGGUGGGCUCACCCCUUUCCCGCCAUUGAAACUGGCGCUCUUGAGUGGAAGAGAAGUAUGCGGAAUGCGUGGUGUAGCGGUGAAAUGCAUAGAUAUCACGCAGAACCCCGAUUGCGAAGGCAGCAUGCCGGCUUCCGACUGACGCUGAAGCACGAAAGCGUGGGGAUCGAACAGGAUUAGAUACCCGGGUAAA
RNAcentral lists this ribosomal RNA (469 nucleotides) under uncultured bacterium. Its description in RNAcentral is "partial 16S ribosomal RNA". It matches the Rfam family "Bacterial small subunit ribosomal RNA", at positions 328 to 794 of the family's 1533-position model. The record is from RNAcentral.